UACGAAGGGGGCUAGCGUUGUUCGGAAUUACUGGGCGUAAAGCGCGCGUAGGCGGUGAUCUUUGUCAGAGGUGAAAGCCCGGGGCUCAACUCCGGAAUUGCCUUUGAAACGGGAUCGCUUGAGUCCGAGAGGGGAUGGCGGAAUUCCUAGUGGUAGAGGUGAAAUUCGUAGAUAUUAGGAAGAACACCGGUGGCGAAGGCGGCCAUCUGGCUCGGUACUGACGCUCAGGCGCGAAAGCGUGGGGAGCAAACAGG
RNAcentral lists this ribosomal RNA (254 nucleotides) under uncultured bacterium. RNAcentral's name for it is "partial 16S ribosomal RNA". It matches the Rfam family "Bacterial small subunit ribosomal RNA", at positions 524 to 776 of the family's 1533-position model. The record is from RNAcentral.